This 696-nucleotide ribosomal RNA is filed under the name uncultured bacterium. RNAcentral describes it as "bacterial SSU rRNA". It matches the Rfam family "Bacterial small subunit ribosomal RNA", at positions 32 to 715 of the family's 1533-position model. The record is from RNAcentral.
AACGCUAGCUACAGGCUUAACACAUGCAAGUCGAGGGGAAACGAUAGAGAAAGCUUGCUUUUUCUAGGCGUCGACCGGCGCACGGGUGAGUAACGCGUAUCCAACCUGCCCAUCACUUGGGAAUAACCUUGCGAAAGUAAGACUAAUACCCAAUGAUAUCCCACGAAGGCAUCCGAAUGGGAUUAAAGAUUUAUCGGUGAUGGAUGGGGAUGCGUCUGAUUAGCUUGUUGGCGGGGUAACGGCCCACCAAGGCUACGAUCAGUAGGGGUUCUGAGAGGAAGGUCCCCCACAUUGGAACUGAGACACGGUCCAAACUCCUACGGGAGGCAGCAGUGAGGAAUAUUGGUCAAUGGACGAGAGUCUGAACCAGCCAAGUAGCGUGCAGGACGACGGCCCUAUGGGUUGUAAACUGCUUUUGUACGGGGAUAAAGUGAGCCACGUGUGGUUUAUUGCAGGUACCGUACGAAUAAGGACCGGCUAAUUCCGUGCCAGCAGCCGCGGUAAUACGGAAGGUCCGGGCGUUAUCCGGAUUUAUUGGGUUUAAAGGGAGCGUAGGCGGGGAGUCAAGUCAGUUGUGAAAAGCCGCGGCCCAACCGUGGUCGUGCAGUUGAAACUGGUUCUCUUGAGUGCGCACGAGGACGGUGGAAUUCGUGGUGUAGCGGUGAAAUGCUUAGAUAUCACGAAGAACUCCGAUUG